Molecule: non-coding RNA, 321 nt
Organism: Vicia faba (fava bean)
Lineage: Eukaryota; Viridiplantae; Streptophyta; Magnoliopsida; Fabales; Fabaceae
Source: the annotation of a GenBank genome assembly
AAAGAAAUCAAUGAAGAAAGAGAACACAAGAUUUCACUCUUUUUCCCAUUUAUUUUUUCGAGAUUUUACAAUCCUAAGCUCGAAAACCUCACAAAACCGCCAUUCCAUACUUCUCUUUGGAUCACACUUUUUUCUUUCUCUCUCUCUUCCUUUUUUUUUUUGUCCUGCUUGAAGCUUUUUGUAUCGCAUUCCAAACUUAGCCCACAAAUUUUGACUCUUCUAUCUAACUCUUUGAUUCAGUGGAAUGUAAAUGAAGCUAAGAUGAACAGUUUCCGUUUCUGGGUUUUACUACUUUCUGUAUCUUUUUCUUUCUCUGCCUAG